CCCGAGGAAUCCUCUGGAGAUACAGGCCCGCGCAUGCGCGUGCUCGAGCGCUGAAGCCCAUUGCCCGCAGGGCGCUGGACUGGCGCCCCGGCCGGCGAGGCUGUCUAGUCCAGGCUCCAGGCCCCGGCUCUGGCCAGGCGCCGCCGCCUCCCGGUGCAGCUGAAAGUCGACGAAGAGGGCGGGGCGGGGGCGGCUUGUGGACUUCCACACUUUUCCUCUCUUCGGGCCAGUCUGGGGAGAGGGUGGCUAGCUGUGGCGGCGGCCAAUUACGUGGCGGACCUGCGGGGCUAAGCUGGCACGUCACUUCCGACUAGUGGAGUUUUUAGCCUUUUAACAUUCAAGGAUUAGGUAAAAGUCUUGCAGUGAAAAACCCGAGGACCCUUACCGCAAGUGUCUUUUGCUCCCAGCUACUGAUACUGGAUUCCACUCGUGAUUCUCCCUUUCUUAGCGCAUUCAUGAUAUAGACAUCAGUCUCUGAGCUGGAGGAGGACAAAGGCAGCGGUCCUGUGAAUUCUAUGCUCUAGCUUGGGUUAAGGGAUUUGGAAUUGCACUUGUUUCAGAGAGCUCCCUCUUUGCCCACUAGCAGGGCAUUAGCUGGUGCUGAAGACAGUGGCUGCUUGGCGAGCCUGGAUCUCCAAGUGACCCCCUCAGCAACUCCUGAUGAACAGGACUGAAGCCAAUAUUAAAGCAAGUCAACCAAAGGUUCUCUGGUGUAGACAAGACAGCAAAAGGACAGACUACCUUGUGGAACCUAGCAUUGUUCUCCUUCUGCAGCACUAAGUAACAUUUGUUCUCCGUUAAGAUCUUUGCAAACCACACACAAGAAUUGCUGGUCAUCCUGCCAAUAGAUGCUGCUCACAGAACCAAAUUUCCUGUGCUGAAUUGUCACUCAUGGGCUUGAGAGUAGGAGACUGGAGACCAAGGUGGCUAGAAUCCAGUUGGGCCUGAUGUCUCCCUGUUGAAAGGGCUCCUUGUGGAAUGAAUAGCACAUGGCUCCUGUGGUGGAUCUGAUAGUGGCAUAGCACCAAGUGAUGCAGGCCUGCCAGGGGCCACAGACACAGAAGAUGCUCCCGGGGUCCCCCAUGUACUCCAGACACACUGCAGGCCACCUCUCCCAGCAGGUUGCCAGUCAUGGGCCCCAUCAUCAUGACUUCUGUCCAAGGCAAUCAGGAAAUGAUUCCUUUCCCGACUGCUUCUGUCUAGUGCCUGGGAAUCUUGAGUCAAUCCCUCAGUAAGUCAGUGACUAGGGAAAUCCCUCUCUGAGCCUCCCAGUUCAUGUUGCUUAGGGAACCUGAUAUUUUCGUGAAACCUGCCUACACAUGGGCAGCCCAACAGCAGAACAAAUGGUGGUGACCAAAGUGAACAAAGAAGUAUAGUUGUGCCAGCUUCGUAGUUGCCCAUGUGGACAAGUCAGCAGGAUCAGGACACGAGGAAGAGUAAAUGUGAGACAGUCAAUGUGACUUCUGCGAUAAACAGAUUUUUAAACCCCGAAAUUUUGCAAAAUUUUGGUGAAACCUGAACUUUCUUCGUUGCAUAUACUGGCACUAUCUGUACCAUCAUACAACUGUCUCACAUUAAAGCUAUUUUUCUUGGGCACUGAUGAGUAAGGGACUUGCACUUAGGAAUCUGUUACAGUGAGCACAGAAGCAGACCUGUGGGCUCAUAGUCUUCACCCCCCACCCAUAUAUACAAGAUGAACAGAGUGGAGGUUAAACAACUUGACUAAACAACACAGUUCAUGGUAAAGCCCAAGACUGUACCUGCCCAUCCACUGCCUUUUCCAUGUAUCCUGGAACUGAGCAUAGACCUCUUCCCAGGCAGAGCUGACAGCAAGUAAAGGAGAUCAUAAUCAGGGGACCAAACAACUUUGUCUAAAGUGUGAAUGUCACCUAAGGAGAAGCUGUGAGAUCAGAAGGGUGGGGCAGAGGAGCAGACACCAUGAGGGAGAGUCCUUGGGGGUACAUCUGCCAGACUGACACUGUCUGGCCUGGGCAGUGGAGGGGCUAGCAGGAACCACAGGUACUGGUGGUGUGGCUACUACCGUUACAACUGCCUGUGCUUGGACAUGGACCCUCUGCAAUAUGCGGCAGUUUCAUUCAUUGCCCCCUACAUUCUACACCAAGUAGAAAUGGAAGGCAAUUGGAUACUUCACAGACAAGAUCUAAGUGGAGAAGGAAUGCGUCCUGUGGCUGCAGAGAUCCUUGGAGCUUGGAGGGGAGAGCUUGAGCCCCACUGAUGAUGACCUCCCACAGCUCGCCAACUCAGCCCUCCCUAAGUCCCCAUCGGGGGCCAAUUCUCACUCUGGGGUUGGGGGGACUCCACCAUAGCUCAUCCAUCAUAGGGAUGUUGGUAUCUACUGUGGGUUGGGUAGGGCCGAUGUGCUGAGGAUGGCUCCCCCACAAGCAAGAGAUGUGGAUUUGGGGAGCUUCCCAUCUUGUGUUGAAGGAACAUAACUCAGAAUAAUAAGAGCCAACUAUAACAAACCCACAGCCAACAUCAUACUGAAUGGGCAAAAGCUGCAGGCAUUCCCCUUGAAAAGUGGCACAGGAUAAGGAAGCCCUUUCUCACCACUCCUAUUCAAUAUAGUGUUGAAAGUCCUGAUCACAGCAGUCAGGCAACAGAAAUAAUAAAGGGCAUCCAAAUAGGAAGAGAGGAAGUCAAACUAUCCUUGUUUGCAGACAGUAUGAUUCUAUAUCUAGAAAACCCCAUAGCCUCAGCCCAAAAGGUCCUUCAUCUGAUAAUUUCAGCAAAGUUUCAGGAGACAAAAUCAGUGUACAAAAAUCACUAACAUUCCUAUACACAGUCGCCAAGCCAAGAGCCAAAUCAGGAGCACAAUCCCAUUCAUAAUUGCCACAAAAAAGAAUAAAAUACCCAGGAAUGCAGCUAACCAAGGAAGUAAAGGAUCUCUACAAUGAGAAUCACAAACGCUGCUCAAAGAAAUCAGAGAUGACACAAACAAAUGGAAAAACUUUCCAUGCUCAUGGCUAGGAAGAAUCAAUAUCAUUAAAGUGGCCAUACUACCCAAAGCAAUUUAUAGAUUCAAUGCUAUUCCUAUCAAACUAUCAAUUACAUUUUUCACAGAACUAGAAAAAACUUAAAAUUCAUAUGGAACCAAAAAGCCUGAGUAGUCAAGGCAAUCCUAAACAAAAAGAACAAAGGUGGAGGCAUCACAUUACCUAACUUCAAACUACAGGGCUACCAUGACCAAAACAGCAUGGUACUGGUACAAAAGCAGACACACAGACCAGUGGGACAGAAUAGAGAGCCCAAAAAUAAGGCCACAAACCUACAGCCAUCUGAUCUUCAACAAAGUUGACAAAAACAAGCAAUGGGGAAAGGUCUCCCUAUUCAAUAAAUGGUGCUGGGAUAACUGGCUGGCCAUAUGCAGAAGAUCGUAACUGGACCCCUUUUACUAUGUACAAAAAUUAAGAUGGUUUAAAGAGUUAAAACCCAAAAUUAUAAAAAUCCUGAAGAUAACUUAGGCAAUACCAUUCUGGACAUAGGAACUGGCAAAUAUUUCAUGAUGAAGACACCAAAAGCAAUUGUAACAAAAGCAAAAAUGGACAAAUUGGAUUUAAGAGCUUUUUCAUAGCAAAAUAAACAACAGGGCAGACAAUCUACCAAAUGACAGAAAAUUUUUGCAAACUAUGCAUCUGACAAGGGGCUAAUAUCUAGCAUCUAUAAGGAAUUUAAACACAGUUACAGGAAAAAAAAAACCCACUCCAUUAAAAAAUGGGCAAAGGACAUGAACAGACACUUUUCAAAAAAGACAUACAUACAGCCAACUAGCGUGUUAAAGAAAACCUCAAUUAUCACUGAUCAUUAGAGAAAUGCAAAAUCAAAACCAUGAUGAGAUAUCAUCUGCCAGUCAGGAUGGCUACAAAAAAGUAAAAAAAUAAUAGAUGUUGGUGAGGUUAUGGAGAAAAGGAACUUAUACACUUGUUAGGAGUGUAAAUUAGUUCAAUCACUGUGGACAGCAGUGUGGUGAUUCCUCAGAGAGCUAAAAACAACUACCAUUUGACUCACCAAUCCCAUUACUGGAUAUUUACCUAAAGGAAUAUAAAUCAUUCCACCAUAAAGACACAUGCAAGUGUAUGUUCAUUGCAGCACUAUUAACAGUAACAAAGCUGGGCACAGUGGCUCACCUCACGACUGUAAUCCCAGCACUUUGGGAGGCUGAGGUAGGCGGAUCACCUGAGGUCGGCAGUUUGAGACCAGCCUGACCAACAUGGAGAGACCCCAUCUCUACUAAAAAUACAAAAUUAGCCAGGUGUGGUGGCUCAUGCCUGUAAUCCCAGCUACUUGGGAGGCCAAGGCAGGAGAAUUGCUUGAACCCAGGAGGCAGAGGUUGCAGUG
This 4356-nucleotide long non-coding RNA is filed under the name Homo sapiens (human). Its description in RNAcentral is "HLA complex group 18". The record is from RNAcentral. Lineage: Eukaryota; Metazoa; Chordata; Mammalia; Primates; Hominidae.